RNAcentral lists this transfer RNA (74 nucleotides) under Candidatus Iainarchaeum sp. RNAcentral's name for it is "tRNA-Pro". It matches the Rfam family "tRNA". From Rfam's summary of the family: Transfer RNA (tRNA) molecules are approximately 80 nucleotides in length. Their secondary structure includes four short double-helical elements and three loops (D, anti-codon, and T loops). Further hydrogen bonds mediate the characteristic L-shaped molecular structure. tRNAs have two regions of fundamental functional importance: the anti-codon, which is responsible for specific mRNA codon recognition, and the 3' end, to which the tRNAs corresponding amino acid is attached (by aminoacyl-tRNA synthetases). tRNAs cope with the degeneracy of the genetic code in two manners: having more than one tRNA (with a specific anti-codon) for a particular amino acid; and 'wobble' base-pairing, i.e. permitting non-standard base-pairing at the 3rd anti-codon position. Lineage: Archaea; Nanobdellati; Candidatus Iainarchaeota; Candidatus Iainarchaeia; Candidatus Iainarchaeales; Candidatus Iainarchaeaceae. The record is from RNAcentral.
GGGGCUGUGGUGUAGCCUGGUUAGCAUACAAGCUUUGGGAGCUUGCGACCCCGGUUCAAAUCCGGGCAGCCUCA